CCUACGGGCGGCAGCAGUGGGGAAUAUUGGACAAUGGGCGCAAGCCUGAUCCAGCAAUACCGCGUGUGUGAAGAAGGCCUUAGGGUUGUAAUGCACUUUCAAUGGGGAGGAAAACCUACCGGUCAAUACCCGGUAGCUUGACAUUACCUGUAGAAGAAGCACCGGCUAACUCCGUGCCAGCAGCCGCGGUAAUACGGAGGGUGCAUGCGUUAAUCAGAAUUACUGGGGGUGGUUCGUGAGUUCAGAUGUCAAAGCCCCGGGCUUAACCUGGGAACUGCAUUUGAAACUGGCGGACUAGAGUUGAGUAGAGGGGAGUGGAAUUUCAGGUGUAGCGGUGAAAUGCGUAGAUAUCUGAAGGAACACCAGUGGCGAAGGCGACUCCCUGGACUCAAACUGACGCUGAGGUACGAAAGCGUGGGUAGCAAACAGGAUUAGAUACCCUAGUAGUC
RNAcentral lists this ribosomal RNA (449 nucleotides) under uncultured bacterium. Its description in RNAcentral is "partial 16S ribosomal RNA". It matches the Rfam family "Bacterial small subunit ribosomal RNA", at positions 338 to 795 of the family's 1533-position model. The record is from RNAcentral.